This 546-nucleotide ribosomal RNA is filed under the name uncultured bacterium. Its description in RNAcentral is "bacterial SSU rRNA". It matches the Rfam family "Bacterial small subunit ribosomal RNA", at positions 96 to 676 of the family's 1533-position model. The record is from RNAcentral.
UGGCGCACGGGUGCGUAACGCGUGGGAACCUGCCCUUAGGUUCGGAAUAACUCCCCGAAAGGGGUGCUAAUACCGGAUAAUGUCUUCGGACCAAAGAUUUAUCGCCUUUGGAUGGGCCCGCGUAGGAUUAGCUAGUUGGUGGGGUAAAGGCCUACCAAGGCGACGAUCCUUAGCUGGUCUUAGAGGAUGAUCAGCCACACUGGGACUGAGACACGGCCCAGACUCCUACGGGAGGCAGCAGUGGGGAAUAUUGGACAAUGGGCGAAAGCCUGAUCCAGCAAUGCCGCGUGAGUGAUGUAGGCCUUAGGGUUGUAAAGCUCUUUUACCCGGGACGAUAAUGACAGUACCGGAAGAAUAAGCCCCGGCUAACUCCGUGCCAGCAGCCGCGGUAAUACGGAGGGGGCUAGCGUUGUUCGGAAAUACUGGGCGUAAAGCGCACGUAGGCGGCGCAGCAAGUCAGGGGGUGAAAUCCCGGGGCUCAACCCCGGAACUGCCCUUGAAACUGCAGUGCUAGAAUUCUGGAGAGGCGAGUGGAAUUCCGAGUGU